RNAcentral lists this ribosomal RNA (352 nucleotides) under Anodonthyla montana (mountain climbing frog). Its description in RNAcentral is "partial 12S ribosomal RNA". It matches the Rfam family "Bacterial small subunit ribosomal RNA", at positions 864 to 1384 of the family's 1533-position model. Lineage: Eukaryota; Metazoa; Chordata; Amphibia; Anura; Microhylidae. The record is from RNAcentral.
ACAACCCGCCAGGGAAUUACGAGCCCAAUCUUAAAACCCAAAGGACUUGACGGUGUCCCACCCACCUAGAGGAGCCUGUUCUAUAAUCGACACCCCCCGAUACACCUCACCACUUCUAGCAUAUCAGUCUGUAUACCUCCGUCAUAAGCCUACCAUGUGAACGCUAAAGUGGGCCAAAAGAUCCCCCCAUCAAUACGUCAGGUCAAGGUGCAGCUUACGAAGUGGAAAGCAAUGGGCUACAAUUUCUAACCAUAGAACACACGAAAGAACUGCAUGCAAUACAGUUUCAGAAGGUGGAUUUAGCAGUAAAAAGAAAAUAGAGUGUUCUUUUUAACCCGGCGCUGGGACGCGU